CUACGGGGUGCAGCAGUGGGGAAUAUUGGACAAUGGGGGCAACCCUGAUCCAGCCAUGCCGCGUGUGUGAAGAAGGCCUUCGGGUUGUAAAGCACUUUAAGUGGGGAGAAAGGCUCGCUGCCUAAUAAUCAGCGGGAUUGAUGCUACCCACAGAAUAAGCACCGGCUAACUCUGUGCCAGCAGCCGCGGUAAUACAGAGGGUGCAAGCGUUAAUCGGAAUUACUGGGCGUAAAGCGCGCGUAGGCGGCUGAUUAAGUCGGAUGUGAAAUCCCCGGGCUCAACCUGGGAACUGCAUUCGAUACUGAUCGGCUAGAGUAUGAGAGAGGGAGGUAGAAUUCCACGUGUAGCGGUGAAAUGCGUAGAUAUGUGGAGGAAUACCGGUGGCGAAGGCGGCCUCCUGGCUUAAUACUGACGCUGAGGUGCGAAAGCGUGGGGAGCAAACAGGAUUAGAUACCCGUGUAGUC
Molecule: ribosomal RNA, 464 nt
Filed under: uncultured bacterium
Lineage: Bacteria
Description: partial 16S ribosomal RNA
Rfam family: Bacterial small subunit ribosomal RNA
Source: RNAcentral